GAUGAACGCUAGCUACAGGCUUAACACAUGCAAGUCGAGGGGCAUCAGGGUAGCAAUACCGCUGGCGACCGGCGCACGGGUGAGUAGCACGUAUCCAACCUACCGUUAACUCCGGAAUAACCUUUCGAAAGAAAGACUAAUACUGGAUAGCACCAUUUGCGGACAUCCAAAGAUGGUUAAAGAAUUUCGGUUAUCGAUGGGGAUGCGUUCCAUUAGCUUGUUGGCGGGGUAACGGCCCACCAAGGCAUCGAUGGAUAGGGGUUCUGAGAGGAAGGUCCCCCACAUUGGAACUGAGACACGGUCCAAACUCCUACGGGAGGCAGCAGUGAGGAAUAUUGGUCAAUGGGCGAGAGCCUGAACCAGCCAAGUAGCGUGAAGGAUGAAGGCUCUAUGGGUCGUAAACUUCUUUUAUAUGGGAAUAAAGUGAGCCACGUGUGGCUUUUUGUAUGUACCAUGUGAAUAAGGAUCGGCUAACUCCGUGCCAGCCGCCGCGGUAACAC
This 500-nucleotide ribosomal RNA is filed under the name uncultured bacterium. RNAcentral's name for it is "bacterial SSU rRNA". It matches the Rfam family "Bacterial small subunit ribosomal RNA", at positions 28 to 526 of the family's 1533-position model. The record is from RNAcentral.